CGUCGAACGCCCCGCAAGGGGAGUGGCAGACGGGUGAGUAACGCGUGGGAACAUCCCUUUUCCUGCGGAAUAGCUCUGGGAAACUGGAAUUAAUACCGCAUACGCCCUACGGGGGAAAGAUUUAUCGGGGAAGGAUUGGCCCGCGUUGGAUUAGCUAGUUGGUGGGGUAACGGCCUACCAAGGCGACGAUCCAUAGCUGGUCUGAGAGGAUGAUCAGCCACAUUGGGACUGAGACACGGCCCAAACUCCUACGGGAGGCAGCAGUGGGGAAUAUUGGACAAUGGGCGCAAGCCUGAUCCAGCCAUGCCGCGUGAGUGAUGAAGGCCUUAGGGUUGUAAAGCUCUUUCACCGAUGAAGAUAAUGACGGUAGUCGGAGAAGAAGCCCCGGCUAACUUCGUGCCAGCAGCCGCGGUAAUACGAAGGGGGCUAGCGUUGUUCGGAAUUACUGGGCGUAAAGCGCACGUAGGCGGAUAUUUAAGUCAGGGGUGAAAUCCCGCAGCUCAACUGCGGAACUGCCUUUGAUACUGGGUAUCUUGAGUAUGGAAGAGGUAAGUGGAAUUCCGAGUGUAGAGGUGAAAUUCGUAGAUAUUCGGAGGAACACCAGUGGCGAAGGCGGCUUACUGGUCCAUUACUGACGCUGAAGUGCGAAAGCGUGGGGAGCAAACACGAUUAGAUACCCUGGUAGUCCACGCCGUAAACGAUGAAUGUUAGCCGUCGGGCAGUAUACUGUUCCGUGGCGCAGCUUACCCAAUUAACAAUCCCGCCUGGGGAGUACGGUCGCCAGAAUAAAA
Molecule: ribosomal RNA, 791 nt
Filed under: uncultured bacterium
Lineage: Bacteria
Description: bacterial SSU rRNA
Rfam family: Bacterial small subunit ribosomal RNA
Source: RNAcentral